Molecule: ribosomal RNA, 284 nt
Filed under: uncultured fungus
Lineage: Eukaryota; Fungi
Description: partial 18S ribosomal RNA
Rfam family: Eukaryotic small subunit ribosomal RNA
Source: RNAcentral
AAGACUAACUACUGCGAAAGCAUUUGCCAAGGAUGUUUUCAUUAAUCAGUGAACGAAAGUUAGGGGAUCGAAGACGAUCAGAUACCGUCGUAGUCUUAACCAUAAACUAUGCCGACUAGGGAUCGGGCGAUGUUAUCUUUUUGACUCGCUCGGCACCUUACGAGAAAUCAAAGUUUUUGGGUUCUGGGGGGAGUAUGGUCGCAAGGCUGAAACUUAAAGAAGUUGACGGAAGGGCACCACCAGGAGUGGAGCCUGCGGCUUAAUUUGACUCAACACGGGGAAAC